AGUGAACGCUGGCGGUAGGCCUAACACAUGCAAGUCGAACGGCAGCACAGUAAGAGCUUGCUCUUACGGGUGGCGAGUGGCGGACGGGUGAGGAAUACAUCGGAAUCUACUUUUUCGUGGGGGAUAACGUAGGGAAACUUACGCUAAUACAGCAUACGACCUACGGGUGAAAGCAGGGGAUCUUCGGACCUUGCGCGAUUGAAUGAGCCGAUGUCGGAUUAGUUAGUUGGCGGGGUAAAGGCCCACCAAGGCGACGAUCCGUAGCUGGUCUGAGAGGAUGAUCAGCCACACUGGAACUGAGACACGGGCCAGACUCCUACGGGAGGCAGCAGUGGGGAAUAUUGGACAAUGGGCGCAAGCCUGAUCCAGCCAUACCGCGUGGGUGAAGAAGGCCUUCGGGUUGUAAAGCCCUUUUGUUGGGAAAGAAAAGCAGCAGGUUAAUACCCCGCUGUUCUGACGGUACCCAAAGAAUAAGCACCGGCUAACUUCGUG
RNAcentral lists this ribosomal RNA (492 nucleotides) under uncultured bacterium. RNAcentral's name for it is "partial 16S ribosomal RNA". It matches the Rfam family "Bacterial small subunit ribosomal RNA", at positions 29 to 507 of the family's 1533-position model. The record is from RNAcentral.